AGCUAGUCCAUGAGGAAGUUGAACAUGAAGGGCAUGCAGUACGUGUAGGAUAUACGUGUGAUAGUCCCUUUAAAUAACCACGGUCAACCGAUUGAGCUGGGGAGGACAUCUAUUCAACUAGUAUCUGGCUUAUGUAGGUAGGAAAUACAGAUUCUUUCCCAUUUAUGAGCCAAACUCGAGGAAGGUGUCAACAAAGAACGAGAUUAACGCCUAAGAGCUGCUGAAGAAAAUUUUUGUUGUUAGGGAAGACAUGAAGACGUAUGCACUGAAAAUGUUAGAGAGGGUUGGAAGAAUAGGAGGGGUCGCCUAUACAGUGCAAGGAAAGGCGACGAGAUGAGACCCCUAGAGGAGUUGUAGGCAGUCGUGCCAAAUUGCGUCCUUGCCAAUGACUGGGCAUCUUUUGUCCAGUUUAGGGUGACAUCUGAGCAGAGAAAAUGCCAUGAGUCACAGCCAACAGGAUAUCCAACAUAUGGCAAGUUCAAAGACAUUCGAUGUCACGUAUAAUGAGAUUAGAGGAAGACGCAACAGGAUAAGGGAUGAACACCCACCUAUAGCGAGAUGUGGCCCCAACUCCAUAAGCAUAGGGACAACACUCUUAUAACUGAGCAGGCUGAGGAAGUUGCUGAGCAGAUAGCUCAGAGUGCUAUAGAGCUCUGAGAGUUUCAGGGGUUAGUUGUGGAUCCUACCAUCUCACUCAGGGUAGGUCUAGGCUAACCUGAACACUAGGGAUAGGUUAGAGGGGUUGGUUUUGGCACCACACCGAGUACCAUCUAUGGCCGAGGUCGCCAUGAGACUUCCAAGGUAGGGACCUCCCAGUCAGCCACAACAUCACACCAAACUCUUUUUGCCAUGAGGCGUUCAAGUGAGGCAUCAGUGGAGGAGCUUCAUAUAGAGAUAUGGAUUGUAGAGGCCUGAUUUCAGGCUCGUGAGGCUAAGAUAUAGGCCACAUAUGAGCAGUGGAUAGAAGCAACCAAUCCAAUGAUGGAGAUUGUGUGGUAAAAGGAAAAUCCUAGCACUCCUGCUCUAGUGCUCCCAGAUAUAGCCAAGGAUGAUGAGGAUGAUGACAUUCCAUAGUAGCCAUCUCAAUAGCCACAACCCCAGCCCCAGCCCCAACACCAACAGCCUCGUCAGGAUAAAGAUGAUGAUUUUGUCGAGUCUUUACGAAGGACCAACAAUUGAGGACUCUUAUUAUUUUUAUGAACAUUGAAACA
This is a long non-coding RNA of Neltuma alba, 1211 nucleotides long. RefSeq lists it as uncharacterized. The record is from RefSeq and is a predicted model, not a curated record. The transcript is spliced from 5 exons. NCBI's taxonomy places the organism in Eukaryota, Viridiplantae, Streptophyta, Magnoliopsida, Fabales, Fabaceae.